CUGCAGUAAAUGUAACCUGCUUAUCAUACAUGUGUAACAGUGUUGAAACGAGGAAACUAAUGGAACUGGUGAAUUGUUAUCAAUUCAAAAGCUGUACAUGGAAUGAUACAUGCAGGAAUUUGUGCCACACAUUUCAACAAUUUCCUUAAUGGAUUGAAUGUACUUUAUGUGAAUUCAUCAGCCAUACUUAAAAAGAAAAAGGAGAAUGAAACUGGAAAGAAAAUAUUUGCAGUUGCAAAAGAAUGCUGUAAAUAAACUAAACGAAGAAACAGUUUUAAACAUGGUUAAUUUAAUGAAUAAUUGGAAGGUUGAAGCUAUUUUUGUUGCAGAAUGGCAAAUGUUUGGUACUGGUUGAAACUAUGAAAGUGAUACAGGUCCCAUGGUAAUCAUUUAACAGCAGGUUUUUAACAGCAGUUAUGCAGAAAAAUGAAGGAUGGCUGUCAAUGGUAAAUGCAGCAUCAGAAUAUUCCCUAGGAAAGUUUACCCAGAGAGUUUGGGAAAGUAUAAAUAAGAAAUUAGAGAGGGAAACAGAUAACCAGAAAACAAAGAUUUCAAAAGAAAAGAAUUGCCACUAAUAGUAAUAUGAUAUAUCUGACUGGGAGCAACAUGUACUAUUCAAUAUGGACGGAUUGACAAUUUUGACUGAGAACAAAGUGAACUCUAAUAAUGCUAUGACUAUCAAUCAAUACUUGACUGAAACAGAGGAGUAAACUAUUUACAUAUUUGUAAAUAUAACAGUUAUAUGUUUGCUUGAUUAUUGAGGCAUUCAAAAUAAAGGAAGUUGAAAAACCUUUGAAAAAGUUAUAAUUUCAGAA
This is a long non-coding RNA of Mytilus trossulus (common blue mussel), 815 nucleotides long. RefSeq lists it as uncharacterized. The record is from RefSeq and is a predicted model, not a curated record. The transcript is spliced from 5 exons. Lineage: Eukaryota; Metazoa; Mollusca; Bivalvia; Mytilida; Mytilidae.